CCCAUUCUAAGGCCCCAGGAAGAGAGAGGUGCUCUGAGGCAAGUUGGAGGAGAACCCUCAGCACAGAGCCCAGACCCACAUCCUCAGGGCAGAGGGAAGAGGCUCACAGGACAGUGGUCCUAGGAGAGCUGGACCUGCAGUGGCCUUUGUCUUUCAUGGUCAGCUGAGAGAGGGCAAUGCUGGCUCAACUUCCAGGUGUCAUCAAGGACCAUGUGACAGUGGGCAGUUGGAUCCCUGUUGGAGGAGAGGGAGAUGAAAGUCACAGGUGGAUCAAGAUCUGUAUUUUUCGUCCAGACCAGAACAAGAUGGCCAUGUCCCAGUACUGACAAUGUCCUGUGAAGGUGGAACCCAAGAUUAAGGAAGACCAAAAAUAUAAUAUUGAAGUAGCAAGAGGGGGGCCCUGGAAGAUGGCAUGGCAGAAUCCCUCUUUGACAAGCUCACCCUGGGUGGCUGCGACAGGAAGAACUGAUCUGGGACU
Long non-coding RNA from Lemur catta (Ring-tailed lemur), 478 nucleotides. RefSeq lists it as uncharacterized. The transcript is spliced from 5 exons. The record is from RefSeq and is a predicted model, not a curated record. NCBI's taxonomy places the organism in Eukaryota, Metazoa, Chordata, Mammalia, Primates, Lemuridae.